UACGUAGGGUGCAAGCGUUGUCCGGAUUUAUUGGGCGUAAAGAGCUCGUAGGCGGUUUGUCGCGUCUGCUGUGAAAACUCGGGGCUUAACUCCGGGCCUGCAGUGGGUACGGGCAGACUAGAGUGCGGUAGGGGAGACUGGAAUUCCUGGUGUAGCGGUGAAAUGCGCAGAUAUCAGGAGGAACACCGGUGGCGAAGGCGGGUCUCUGGGCCGUAACUGACGCUGAGGAGCGAAAGCGUGGGGAGCAAACAGG
This 253-nucleotide ribosomal RNA is filed under the name uncultured bacterium. RNAcentral's name for it is "partial 16S ribosomal RNA". It matches the Rfam family "Bacterial small subunit ribosomal RNA", at positions 524 to 776 of the family's 1533-position model. The record is from RNAcentral.